RNAcentral lists this transfer RNA (71 nucleotides) under Stegodyphus mimosarum. It matches the Rfam family "tRNA". From Rfam's summary of the family: Transfer RNA (tRNA) molecules are approximately 80 nucleotides in length. Their secondary structure includes four short double-helical elements and three loops (D, anti-codon, and T loops). Further hydrogen bonds mediate the characteristic L-shaped molecular structure. tRNAs have two regions of fundamental functional importance: the anti-codon, which is responsible for specific mRNA codon recognition, and the 3' end, to which the tRNAs corresponding amino acid is attached (by aminoacyl-tRNA synthetases). tRNAs cope with the degeneracy of the genetic code in two manners: having more than one tRNA (with a specific anti-codon) for a particular amino acid; and 'wobble' base-pairing, i.e. permitting non-standard base-pairing at the 3rd anti-codon position. Lineage: Eukaryota; Metazoa; Arthropoda; Arachnida; Araneae; Eresidae. The record is from Rfam by way of RNAcentral.
GCCUUGGUGGUGUAACAGUAGCAAACUCGACCUGCAUUCGAGAGGUCAAGGUUCGAACCCCGGCGAGGGCA